Molecule: ribosomal RNA, 467 nt
Filed under: uncultured bacterium
Lineage: Bacteria
Description: partial 16S ribosomal RNA
Rfam family: Bacterial small subunit ribosomal RNA
Source: RNAcentral
GACGAACGCUGGCGGCGUGCUUAACACAUGCAAGUCGAACGAUGAAGCCCAGCUUGCUGGGUGGAAGAGUGGCGAACGGGUGAGUAACACGUGAGUAACCUGCCCUGAACUCUGGGAUAAGCACUGGAAACGGUGUCUAAUACUGGAUACGACCUAUCACCGCAUGGUGUGUGGGUGGAAAGAUUUAUCGGUUCUGGAUGGACUCGCGGCCUAUCAGCUAGAUGGUGAGGUAAUGGCUCACCAUGGCGACGACGGGUAGCCGGCCUGAGAGGGUGACCGGCCACACUGGGACUGAGACACGGCCCAGACUCCUACGGGAGGCAGCAGUGGGGAAUAUUGCACAAUGGUCGCAAGCCUGAUGCAGCAACGCCGCGUGAGGGAUGACGGCCUUCGGGUUGUAAACCUCUUUUAGUAGGGAAGAAGCGAAAGUGACGGUACCUGCAGAAAAAGCACCGGCUAACUACGUG